Molecule: ribosomal RNA, 497 nt
Filed under: uncultured bacterium
Lineage: Bacteria
Description: partial 16S ribosomal RNA
Rfam family: Bacterial small subunit ribosomal RNA
Source: RNAcentral
GAUGAACGCUGGCGGCGUGCCUAAUACAUGCAAGUCGAGCGAACGGACGAGAAGCUUGCUUCUCUGAUGUUAGCGGCGGACGGGUGAGUAACACGUGGAUAACCUACCUAUAAGACUGGGAUAACUUCGGGAAACCGGAGCUAAUACAGGAUAAUAUUUUGAACCGCAUGGUUCAAAAGUGAAAGACGGUCUUGCUGUCACUUAUAGAUGGAUCCGCGCUGCAUUAGCUAGUUGGUAAGGUAACGGCUUACCAAGGCAACGAUGCAUAGCCGACCUGAGAGGGUGAUCGGCCACACUGGAACUGAGACACGGUCCAGACUCCUACGGGAGGCAGCAGUAGGGAAUCUUCCGCGAUGGGCGAAAGCCUGACGGAGCAACGCCGCGUGAGUGAUGAAGGUCUUCGGAUCGUAAAACUCUGUUAUUAGGGAAGAACAUAUGUUUAAGUAACUGUGCACAUCUUGACGGUACCUAAUCAGAAAGCCACGGCUAACUACGUG